RNAcentral lists this non-coding RNA (96 nucleotides) under Streptomyces swartbergensis. RNAcentral's name for it is "Bacterial large subunit ribosomal RNA". It matches the Rfam family "Bacterial large subunit ribosomal RNA", at positions 2828 to 2925 of the family's 2925-position model. The record is from Rfam by way of RNAcentral. Lineage: Bacteria; Bacillati; Actinomycetota; Actinomycetes; Kitasatosporales; Streptomycetaceae.
UAAGGCUCCCAGUAGACGACUGGGUUGAUAGGCCGGAUAUGGAAGCACGGUAACGUGUGGAGUUGACCGGUACUAAUAGGCCGAGGGCUUGUCCUC